AAACAAUGAUGUUUUAUUCCUAUUCCAUUUCUUAAUACUAAAUGUGGAAAAUUCCAAGCUGAGUUU
Molecule: small nucleolar RNA, 66 nt
Filed under: Neogobius melanostomus (round goby)
Lineage: Eukaryota; Metazoa; Chordata; Actinopteri; Gobiiformes; Gobiidae
Description: Small nucleolar RNA SNORD98 (ENSNMLG00000025482.1)
Rfam family: Small nucleolar RNA SNORD98
About the family: The members of this family belong to the C/D class of snoRNAs which contain the C (UGAUGA) and D (CUGA) box motifs. Most of the members of the box C/D family function in directing site-specific 2'-O-methylation of substrate RNAs.
Source: Rfam by way of RNAcentral